Molecule: transfer RNA, 69 nt
Filed under: Pseudoroegneria strigosa
Lineage: Eukaryota; Viridiplantae; Streptophyta; Magnoliopsida; Poales; Poaceae
Description: partial tRNA-Ser
Rfam family: tRNA
About the family: Transfer RNA (tRNA) molecules are approximately 80 nucleotides in length. Their secondary structure includes four short double-helical elements and three loops (D, anti-codon, and T loops).
Source: RNAcentral
GGAGAGAUGGCUGAGUGGUUGAUAGCUCCGGUCUUGAAAACCGGUAUAGUUCUAGGAACUAUCGAGGGU